GCCCGCUUGUCCCAGUGGUAAGGAGUGUCACUCGUAUAUUCAAUGUGCAAUGACAAGAUCAGUUGUUCGAAUCAGCUAGUGGGCA
This is a non-coding RNA of Mycena crocata, 85 nucleotides long. The record is from the annotation of a GenBank genome assembly. NCBI's taxonomy places the organism in Eukaryota, Fungi, Basidiomycota, Agaricomycetes, Agaricales, Mycenaceae.